UGGGGAAUAUUGCACAAUGGGCGAAAGCCUGAUGCAGCAACGCCGCGUGAGUGAUGAAGGUCUUCGGAUUGUAAAGCUCUGUCUUUUGGGACGAUAAUGACGGUACCAAAGGAGGAAGCCACGGCUAACUACGUGCCAGCAGCCGCGGUAAUACGUAGGUGGCGAGCGUUGUCCGGAUUUACUGGGCGUAAAGGGUGCGUAGGCGGAUGUUUAAGUGAGAUGUGAAAUACCCGGGCUUAACUUGGGUGCUGCAUUUCAAACUGGAUAUCUAGAGUGCAGGAGAGGAGAAUGGAAUUCCUAGUGUAGCGGUGAAAUGCGUAGAGAUUAGGAAGAACACCAGUGGCGAAGGCGAUUCUCUGGACUGUAACUGACGCUGAGGCACGAAAGCGUGGGUAGCAAAUAGGAUUAGAUACCCUGGUAGUCCACGCCGUAAACGAUGAGUACUAGGUGUAGGAGGUAUCGACCCCUUCUGUGCCGCAGU
This 481-nucleotide ribosomal RNA is filed under the name uncultured bacterium. RNAcentral's name for it is "partial 16S ribosomal RNA". It matches the Rfam family "Bacterial small subunit ribosomal RNA", at positions 355 to 852 of the family's 1533-position model. The record is from RNAcentral.